This 301-nucleotide ribosomal RNA is filed under the name uncultured bacterium. RNAcentral's name for it is "partial 16S ribosomal RNA". It matches the Rfam family "Bacterial small subunit ribosomal RNA", at positions 509 to 807 of the family's 1533-position model. The record is from RNAcentral.
CAGUAGCCGCGGUAACACGUAGGUGGCAAGCGUUGUCCGGAAUUAUUGGGCGUAAAGGGCUCGCAGGCGGUUUCUUAAGUCUGAUGUGAAAGCCCCCGGCUCAACCGGGGAGGGUCAUUGGAAACUGGGAAACUUGAGUGCAGAAGAGGAGAGUGGAAUUCCACGUGUAGCGGUGAAAUGCGUAGAGAUGUGGAGGAACACCAGUGGCGAAGGCGACUCUCUGGUCUGUAACUGACGCUGAGGAGCGAAAGCGUGGGGAGCGAACAGGAUUAGAUACCCGCGUAGUCCCUGUCUCUUAUAC